Molecule: ribosomal RNA, 924 nt
Filed under: uncultured Bacteroidota bacterium
Lineage: Bacteria; Pseudomonadati; Bacteroidota
Description: bacterial SSU rRNA
Rfam family: Bacterial small subunit ribosomal RNA
Source: RNAcentral
UGGAUCCAGACUUUGAUUAUGGCUCAGGAUGAACGCUAGCUACAGGCUUAACACAUGCAAGUCGAGGGGCAGCGGGAUUGAAGCUUGCUUCAAUUGCCGGCGACCGGCGCACGGGUGAGUAACGCGUAUCCAAUCUUCCGUACACUCAGGGAUAGCCUUUCGAAAGAAAGAUUAAUACCUGAUAGUAUCUUAAGCACACAUGUAAUUAAGAUUAAAGAUUUAUCGGUGUACGAUGGGGAUGCGUUCCAUUAGGUAGUAGGCGGGGUAACGGCCCACCUAGCCAACGAUGGAUAGGGGUUCUGAGAGGAAGGUCCCCCACAUUGGAACUGAGACACGGUCCAAACUCCUACGGGAGGCAGCAGUGAGGAAUAUUGGUCAAUGGACGAGAGUCUGAACCAGCCAAGUAGCGUGAAGGAUGAAGGUCCUACGGAUUGUAAACUUCUUUUAUAAGGGAAUAAACCCUCCCACGUGUGGGAGCUUGUAUGUACCUUAUGAAUAAGCAUCGGCUAACUCCGUGCCAGCAGCCGCGGUAAUACGGAGGAUGCGAGCGUUAUCCGGAUUUAUUGGGUUUAAAGGGAGCGCAGACGGGUCGUUAAGUCAGCUGUGAAAGUUUGGGGCUCAACCUUAAAAUUGCAGUUGAUACUGGCGUCCUUGAGUGCGGUUGAGGUGUGCGGAAUUCGUGGUGUAGCGGUGAAAUGCUUAGAUAUCACGAAGAACUCCGAUUGCGAAGGCAGCACACUAAUCCGUAACUGACGUUCAUGCUCGAAAGUGUGGGUAUCAAACAGGAUUAGAUACCCUGGUAGUCCACACGGUAAACGAUGGAUACUCGCUGUUGGCGAUAUACUGUCAGCGGCUUAGCGAAAGCGUUAAGUAUCCCACCUGGGGAGUACGCCGGCAACGGUGCAACUCAAAUGAAUUGACGGA